CCACACCCUCUACCAUCAAGUUUUUACCUUAGAAUGAGCUUACAAUGGACUGAACCCACUGAAACCAUGAGCCAGGCUCUAAUUCAAAAGAACAUUUAUGGAGGCUGCUUACGGGGAAAGGGAAAAGCGUAAGUCUUUUGUGCUUGUUUCCACAAGAAAUAUCAGCUGCCUUCAGAUUUUGUCUGCGGCAUCAAGAUCACAGCAGUGAGUGCACUGGGAACUGCUCCUGCCCUGGCAGAGCUGACAUCCGGAUGAACCCAAUGUGCCAGUCAGAGAAGACGCAGGAGCCACGGCGCCAGCUUUGGCUUUAAGUGAGUUGAUUUGCUAGAGGACCACACACCUGUAACCCCAGCACUCUGGGAGGCAGAGGCAGGAGGAUCACAUGUUCAAACUCAGCCUAGAUAGAUAACCUAAAUCCAAGUUCUGUUCCUGGAGGACUACAAAUCAAGACAAUCCCCGCUUAAUCUGCCUUACAGAGUAGUUGCCAAGCAAGAGAAAAAUGAUGGCAGUGUAUGUGCUGCAGCAGCGAGCACCCCUGUAUCGGGAAUUGAACUCAGGACCUUAAGCUUGCCAGGAAGGUACGGUGCCCCUGAGGGACAUCCCCCGCCCUCCUUGCUGUGAUUUUUGACUCUGUACAAAUACCGUAUAGGAAAGCAGCUGGCACAUACGGAAAUCUCAUGCCUACCGAGUAAGUCUCCCCCUUUAACAUAAAGGAAAAAGGAAGAGCCCUUCGCUCCUCCAGCUUGGAAAACACAGCCUGUGGGUUUCAGCCCUGCUCCCUAACUUUCAGUCGCCACUCGUGUUCAGGACACGUGAUUCUUCAAUCAAAUACCGAGAAAAAAUCCAAAUGGACCAUUCUCAACUUUCAGGGGAAAUUUUCUAUUUAAAGACAUCCUGUUGUGACCCCGGUGGUAAAGAAUGCUUUCCUAAUGGAAUUAGUCACCACUGACUCAUUUCUGCAACCUUCCUAGUAGCGAUUUUGCCUAAACAAAGAUCCGGUUUAGAGAAGUCAGAUAAAUUACAGAUGACCUUAAUAAAGUAUACAGUACCCAAAGGCAAA
Fukomys damarensis (Damara mole-rat) is the source of this 1060-nucleotide long non-coding RNA. RefSeq lists it as uncharacterized. The record is from RefSeq and is a predicted model, not a curated record. NCBI's taxonomy places the organism in Eukaryota, Metazoa, Chordata, Mammalia, Rodentia, Bathyergidae. The transcript has 6 exons.